CAGUAGCCACGGUAAAACGAAGGGUGCAAGCGUUAAUCGGAGUUACUGGGCGUAAAGCGUGCGUAGGCGGUUUGUUAAGUCUGUUGUGAAAUCCCCGGGCUCAACCUGGGAAUGGCAAUGGAUACUGGCAAGCUAGAGUGUGUCAGAGGAUGGUGGAAUUCCCGGUGUAGCGGUGAAAUGCGUAGAGAUCGGGAGGAACAUCAGUGGCGAAGGCGGCCAUCUGGGACAACACUGACGCUGAGGCACGAAAGCGUGGGGAGCAAACAGGAUUAGAUACCCCCGUAGUCCCUGUCUCUUAUAA
This 301-nucleotide ribosomal RNA is filed under the name uncultured bacterium. Its description in RNAcentral is "partial 16S ribosomal RNA". It matches the Rfam family "Bacterial small subunit ribosomal RNA", at positions 509 to 809 of the family's 1533-position model. The record is from RNAcentral.